AUACUUACCUGGCAGGGGAGCUACCAUGAUCACAAAGGUGGUUUUCCCAGGGCAAGGCUGAUCCAUUGCACUCUGGGACCUGCUGACCCCUGCGACUUCCCCACAUGUGAGAAAUUUAACUGCAUAAUUUGUGUUGGUGGGGGUUGCAUGUGCAAUUUCCCC
This is a small nuclear RNA of Choloepus hoffmanni (Hoffmann's two-fingered sloth), 162 nucleotides long. Its record names the gene U1. It matches the Rfam family "U1 spliceosomal RNA". From Rfam's summary of the family: U1 is a small nuclear RNA (snRNA) component of the spliceosome (involved in pre-mRNA splicing). Its 5' end forms complementary base pairs with the 5' splice junction, thus defining the 5' donor site of an intron. The record is from Ensembl. Lineage: Eukaryota; Metazoa; Chordata; Mammalia; Pilosa; Megalonychidae.